RNAcentral lists this ribosomal RNA (913 nucleotides) under uncultured bacterium. RNAcentral describes it as "bacterial SSU rRNA". It matches the Rfam family "Bacterial small subunit ribosomal RNA", at positions 8 to 916 of the family's 1533-position model. The record is from RNAcentral.
AGAGUUUGAUCAUGGCUCAGAUUGAACGCUGGCGGCAGGCCUAACACAUGCAAGUCGAGCGGAUGAGGGGUGCUUGCACCCCGAUUCAGCGGCGGACGGGUGAGUAAUGCCUAGGAAUCUGCCCGAUAGUGGGUAACAACGUUUCGAAAGGAACGCUAAUACCGCAUACGUCCUACGGGAGAAAGUGGGGGCUCUUCGGACCUCACGCUAUCGGAUGAGCCUAGGUCGGAUUAGCUAGUUGGUGGGGUAAAGGCCCACCAAGGCGACGAUCCGUAACUGGUCUGAGAGGAUGAUCAGUCACACUGGAACUGAGACACGGUCCAGACUCCUACGGGAGGCAGCAGUGGGGAAUAUUGGACAAUGGGCGAAAGCCUGAUCCAGCCAUGCCGCGUGUGUGAAGAAGGUCUUCGGAUUGUAAAGCACUUUAAGUCGGGAGGAAGGGCUGUAGGUUAAUACCCUGCGGUUUUGACGUUACCGACAGAAUAAGCACCGGCUAACUUCGUGCCAGCAGCCGCGGUAAUACGAAGGGUGCAAGCGUUAAUCGGAAUUACUGGGCGUAAAGCGCGCGUAGGUGGUUUGGUAAGUUGGAUGUGAAAGCCCCGGGCUCAACCUGGGAACUGCAUCCAAAACUGCCUGACUAGAGUACGGUAGAGGGUGGUGGAAUUUCCUGUGUAGCGGUGAAAUGCGUAGAUAUAGGAAGGAACACCAGUGGCGAAGGCGACCACCUGGACUGAUACUGACACUGAGGUGCGAAAGCGUGGGGAGCAAACAGGAUUAGAUACCCUGGUAGUCCACGCCGUAAACGAUGUCGACUAGCCGUUGGGCUCCUUGAGAGCUUAGUGGCGCAGCUAACGCAUUAAGUCGACCGCCUGGGGAGUACGGCCGCAAGGUUAAAACUCAAAUGAAUUGACGG